GUUAAAAAAUUUAUUAAUUUAAUUAUUUUGUUAUAUUAUUAUAAAUAAAUUUUUUUAAAUUAAUUGGUUAGAAAUAUUUAAUUUAAUUAUAGUUAAUAGUAUUGAAAAAGAAUAUUUAUUAAAUAUAAAAAAGAAAAAUUUAUUUUUUGUAUCUUGUGUAUCAGAGUUUAUUAAAAAAACAUUAAUAAUUUAAUUUUCUCGAAUUUAAAAGAGCUAAUUUUAUAGUUAUUUUAAUGUGUAAUAAUUAUUUAAAAUAUAAAAUUAGUAAUGAAAUGUUAUUCGUUUUUAAAUUUAUCUAGUUUUAAAAGAAAAAAAUUUAAUUUUGAUUUUAAUUAAUAGAAUUUUUAUUUUUAAAUUUUUUAUAAUUAAAAUUUAAUAAUAUUGGGGAUAAGCUCAAUUUUAAAUGUUUAUAAUUUUGUUUAAUUUUUUAAUAAUAUGUAGAAUUAAAAUUUUUUAUCAUUAAUAAAAUGUUAUAAUUAAUUAUUAUAAAAUGAAAUUUAUAUAAAAUUUAAGUUUUUUAUUUUAAAAUAUUUUUGAAUUAUAAAAAAUUAGGUAUAAUGAUAAAAUUAGUAUAAUAAAUAUAUAAAAUUAAUUUUUAUAUUUAUAUUAAAUUAAGGAAUUCGGCAAUAUUAUUUUUUACCUGUUUAUUAAAAACAUGUCUUUUUGAUUUUAAUUUAAAGUCAAGCCUGCUCAAUGAAUUUUAAAUAGCCGCAGUAUUUUGACUGUGCAAAGGUAGCAUAAUCAAUAGUUUUUUAAUUAAAAACUGGAAUGAAGGGUUUGAUAAAAAAAUAACUGUCUCAAUUUAAUUAAAUAAAAUUUUAUUUUUAAGUUAAAAAGCUUAAAUUAAAUUUAAAGACGAGAAGACCCUAUAAAGUUUUAUUUUUUAUUAAUAAUUAUUUUUAGAAUUAAUAUUAAUUAUUUUUUAAAAAAAUUAAGUUGGGGUGACUAAAAAAUUGAAUUAACUUUUUUUAAAUUAAACAAUUAUUUUUGAUUUUUUGAUCCAUUUAUAUGAUAAAAGAUUAAAUUACUUUAGGGAUAACAGCGUAAUUAUUUUAGAGAGUUCUUAUUGAAAAAAUAGUUUGCGACCUCGAUGUUGGAUUAAAAUUAAUAAUUGGUGAAGAAGCUGAUUUAUUAGGUCUGUUCGACCUUUAAAAUUUUACAUGAUCUGAGUUUAAACCGGUGUAAGCCAGGUUGGUUUCUAUCUUAAAUAAAAAAUUAUAUUUUAGUACGAAAGGACCAAAUAUA
Molecule: ribosomal RNA, 1245 nt
Filed under: Curculionoidea sp. 29 KM-2017
Lineage: Eukaryota; Metazoa; Arthropoda; Insecta; Coleoptera
Description: 16S ribosomal RNA
Rfam family: Archaeal large subunit ribosomal RNA (bases 1035-1193)
Source: RNAcentral